This is a non-coding RNA of Vicia faba (fava bean), 270 nucleotides long. The record is from the annotation of a GenBank genome assembly. Lineage: Eukaryota; Viridiplantae; Streptophyta; Magnoliopsida; Fabales; Fabaceae.
AUGGCGUACGGGCGCGGUAAGGGUUUGUAUCGGCCAAUAAUGGUAUUGUUGCAAGAGCAGAACAUAGGGGUCUUGGAUGCGUGGGUUAUCGGUGUUGUUGCUAACAACGAUUUUGAGUGCUCGCUGGAGAAUGAUGGAGAUGCGUUAGUGUGGCGGAUGAUGUUCCGAGAGUUGCGGAGAUCUAGAUUGGACCAAUGCAGUGGUGUAGUGUUGAAGGGAGUUUGGAGGUCGCGUUGUUGGGGUAGGGCGGACGACUGGGACGAAGGCUAA